UAGGGAAUCUUCGGCAAUGGGGGGAACCCUGACCGAGCAACGCCGCGUGAGUGAAGAAGGUUUUCGGAUCGUAAAGCUCUGUUGUUAAGGAAGAACGAGUGUGAGAAUGGAAAGUUCAUACUGUGACGGUACUUAACCAGAAAGGGACGGCUAACUACGUGCCAGCAGCCGCGGUAAUGCGUAGGUCCCGAGCGUUGUCCGGAUUUAUUGGGCGUAAAGCGAGCGCAGGCGGUUAGAUAAGUCUGAAGUUAAAGGCAGUGGCUCAACCAUUGUAGGCUUUGGAAACUGUUUAACUUGAGUGCAGAAGGGGAGAGUGGAAUUCCAUGUGUAGCGGUGAAAUGCGUAGAUAUAUGGAGGAACACCGGUGGCGAAAGCGGCUCUCUGGUCUGUAACUGACGCUGAGGCUCGAAAGCGUGGGGAGCGAACAGG
This 429-nucleotide ribosomal RNA is filed under the name Bacteroidota bacterium. Its description in RNAcentral is "Bacteroidetes bacterium partial 16S ribosomal RNA". It matches the Rfam family "Bacterial small subunit ribosomal RNA", at positions 355 to 776 of the family's 1533-position model. Lineage: Bacteria; Pseudomonadati; Bacteroidota. The record is from RNAcentral.